Molecule: long non-coding RNA, 274 nt
Filed under: Elaeis guineensis (African oil palm)
Lineage: Eukaryota; Viridiplantae; Streptophyta; Magnoliopsida; Arecales; Arecaceae
Description: long non-coding RNA (EGUI_LNC001848)
Source: RNAcentral
ACCAACAACAACAAUCUCCUCAAUAGAUUUAUGAAGAUUCAGCUCUGAUGAUCGUUCAAUUUGAUCUUAGAGAAGUUAGGUUGUAGCAGACGGUUGCGAUCCCAAUCCAUGGUAGAACUUUACGAAUUCAGAAUUAAUGCACUUUCAAGCAUUACUCCGGAUCGACACUUCGAAUAGUAGAUGGCAUGCAGAGAGGUGGUGGUUUUUUUGAUCUUGGUGUAGGGAUGAGUUCAGAUAGAGAGAAAAACUUAGAAGAAGAGAGAAAGAAACCAAG